UAAGCAUAUCAAUAAGCGGAAGAAAAGAAACCAACCGGGAUUGCCUCAGUAACGGCGAGUGAAGCGGCAAGAGCUCAAAUUUGAAAGCUGGCCCCUUCGGGGUCCGCGUUGUAAUUUGCAGAGGAUGCUUCGGGUGCGGCCCCUGUCUAAGUGCCCUGGAACGGGCCGUCAGAGAGGGUGAGAAUCCCGUCUUGGGCAGGGUGCCCGUGCCCGUGUGAAGCUCCUUCGACGAGUCGAGUUGUUUGGGAAUGCAGCUCUAAAUGGGUGGUAAAUUUCAUCUAAAGCUAAAUACCGGCCGGAGACCGAUAGCGCACAAGUAGAGUGAUCGAAAGAUGAAAAGCACUUUGAAAAGAGAGUUAAACAGCACGUGAAAUUGUUGAAAGGGAAGCGCUUGCGACCAGACUCGGCCCCGGGGUUCAGCCAGCACUCGUGCUGGUGUACUUCCCCGGGGGCGGGCCAGCGUCGGUUUGGGCGGCCGGUCAAAGGCCCCAGGAAUGUAUCGCCCUCCGGGGUUGUCUUAUAGCCUGGGGUGCAAUGCGGCCAGCCCGGACCGAGGAACGCGCUUCGGCACGGACGCUGGCGUAAUGGUCGCAAACGACCCGUCUUGAAACACGGACCAAGGAGUCUAACAUCUACGCGAGUGUUCGGGUGUCAAACCCGUACGCGCAGUGAAAGCGAACGGAGGUGGGAGCCCCCCCGGGGCGCACCAUCGACCGAUCCUGAUGUCUUCGGAUGGAUUUGAGUAAGAGCGUAGCUGUGGGGACCCGAAAGAUGGUGAACUAUGCCUGAAUAGGGCGAAGCCAGAGGAAACUCUGGUGGAGGCUCGCAGCGGUUCUGACGUGCAAAUCGAUCGUCAAAUUUGGGUAUAGGGGCGAAAGACUAAUCGAACCAUCUGGUAGCUGGUUCCUGCCGAAGUU
Molecule: ribosomal RNA, 917 nt
Filed under: Aspergillus nidulans
Lineage: Eukaryota; Fungi; Ascomycota; Eurotiomycetes; Eurotiales; Aspergillaceae
Description: LSU rRNA
Rfam family: Eukaryotic large subunit ribosomal RNA
Source: RNAcentral